GACGAACGCUGGCGGCGUGCUUAACACAUGCAAGUCGAACGGAAAGGCCCUGCUUUUGUGGGGUGCUCGAGUGGCGAACGGGUGAGUAACACGUGAGUAACCUGCCCUUGACUUUGGGAUAACUUCAGGAAACUGGGGCUCAUACCGGAUAGGAGCUACUGCUGCAUGGUGGGGGUUGGAAAGUUUCGGCGGUUGGGGAUGGACUCGCGGCUUAUCAGCUUGUUGGUGAGGUAGUGGCUUACCAAGGCUUUGACGGGUAGCCGGCCUGAGAGGGUGACCGGCCACAUUGGGACUGAGAUACGGCCCAGACUCCUACGGGAGGCAGCAGUGGGGAAUAUUGCACAAUGGGCGGAAGUCUGAUGCAGCAACGCCGCGUGCGGGAUGACGGCCUUCGGGUGGUAAACCGCUUUCGCCGGUGACGAAGCGUGAGUGACGGUAAUGGGUAAAGAAGCACCGGCUAACUACGUG
This 468-nucleotide ribosomal RNA is filed under the name uncultured bacterium. RNAcentral describes it as "partial 16S ribosomal RNA". It matches the Rfam family "Bacterial small subunit ribosomal RNA", at positions 28 to 507 of the family's 1533-position model. The record is from RNAcentral.